GCUGAAACUGACCUUGUGUUAGUCCUGUGUGGCCAGUGGUCCCUUCUGCAGACACUUGCCUUUGACCUGUCUGGGGCCCUCAGCCGGCACCUGGGAGCCAAACUUUGACCUCUGUGACACCGCGCUCCUUGAUAGCCACCCACUCCUGCUUUUGCUUCUUCCCGCCUGGAAGAGGCAUGCUCGGGAGUCUCAGCCGGAGCCCUCGAGGCUUCUCUCUCCACACUCCCUCCUUUAGAGACUCUGUCCUUUCAAAGAUGGGCUGGCUGCUCCUGACUCUGUUCCAUCUCCCUGUCCAUCCUUAAGCCCCAAUCCUUUAGAGACUCUGUCCUUUCAAAGACAGGCUGACUACUCCUGACUUUGCCCUGUCUCCUUGUCCAUCCCCAAGCCCCAAUCCCUCAGAAAAACAUUAAGAAUAUCUUUGUGGCUGCAGUUGUGCAGAGCUCUGCGACCAGCAGGAGUUACUGUAGCUGUCAGAGUACCAGAUUUAAGGAGACCUUAGAUAGGGGCUUCCCUGGUGGCUCAGCUGAUAAAGAAUCUGCCUGAAGUGCGGGAGACCUGGGUUCGAUCCCUGAGUUGGAAAGAUCCCCUGGAGAAAGGAAAGGCUGCCCACUCCAAUACUCUGGCCUGGAGAAUUCCAUGGACUGUAUAGUCAAUGGGGUCACAAAGAGUUGGACAUGAUUGAGUGACUUUGACUUUCACUUCACUAUUAUAGAGUCAGGUGAAUUAGAGUCUUCAUUCCUGCAGAUUGAAGCAACUGCAAAUCAUUUGUUUUAUGUUUGUUUUAUCGUUUGUUUGGUGUAGAAUCAAGUAGGCUUCCCUGGCACCUGGAAGACUUUUUAGAAGGACUGAGCUGACAUGUCCAUUAGUCUCUUUGUAAAUGAAGUUUUUUCCUUUCUUUUCCAGCAGCAAAUAUGGUGCUUUGGACUCUUGGCAAGAACACUGGCAAAAUUCCAACGAGCCAGUCUUUUUGGAAGACUUUGAUCCCGGCCAACAUGGUCUACUCUUUCAAUUAAAAAAAUUAAAAAGUGAAGAAAAAGUCACAGUAUAUUAUGAUUCUCAGCAUUUCUCUUACAAGGACAAAGCAAAAAUGGAAUGA
This 1096-nucleotide long non-coding RNA is filed under the name Bos indicus x Bos taurus (hybrid cattle). Its description in RNAcentral is "lncRNA (ENSBIXG00005017184.1)". The record is from RNAcentral. Lineage: Eukaryota; Metazoa; Chordata; Mammalia; Artiodactyla; Bovidae.